Molecule: long non-coding RNA, 2721 nt
Organism: Ictalurus punctatus (channel catfish)
Lineage: Eukaryota; Metazoa; Chordata; Actinopteri; Siluriformes; Ictaluridae
Exons: 2
Source: RefSeq, a predicted model, not a curated record
CGGGAGCCGAGUGAAAAAUCCCGUCGCUGAUGGAGCUCUUUUCUUUAGUUCUUUAUUAUUAUUCAUUUUUAAUCCGUGUCGUUAUUCUACAAUGAAGCUCAAAGGAAAAAGUAGUUAAUAACGAAUCCCUGCUCUUCCUGCUUGUUUAUGUAAACCCUUAUUUAUUGUUUGACGCGGUGAAGAUUAUUUGGAAGUCAAGCUGGUGAAGCUAAGCUAACUGUUAGCAUGCUAGAUCAGACGUUAAUGCUAAAGAGUAAACACGGGAAGCGCUUUUGGAUCCAAAUGUUCUUUAAAAAAGGGAUAAAAAAUCAGUUCUUAAAAUAUUCUUAUUUGUGUCAGAUCACUACAUUAUGUUCUCAUGCUCCAUCAAGUCUAAUCAAAACUACUUUAAAAGGAUCCUUUUGAAUAUAAAAUCAGAACAAUAUGGCUGACAAAAAUCAUAAAUGGUUUUAUUGAAGAUAAUUAUUACAUAUUUAUACACGAAUACAGCUUUUGUAUUUGAAAGUGGUUAUAUAAAUGUGAAAAAGAAGAAUAGCAGAUAAAUAUAAAUGUUUAUUUUUUAAAUACUAUUUAUUUAAUAUUCUGUACUUGUUACUUACUUUAAAUUUAUUGUGUGCUGCACGGGGCUUAGUGGAUAUUUAUAGUGGUUAUUAUGUUCGCCUCACACCUCCAGGGUCCGGGGUUUGAUUACCACCGUGGCCCUGUGUGUGUGUGUGUGUGUGUGUGUGUGUGUGUGUGUGCGGAGUUUACAUGUUCUCCAGGUGCUGCGGGGGUUUCCUCCGGGUACUCCGGUUUCCUCUCCAGUCCAAAGACAUGCAUGCGUGUGCGUUCAGGAAAAUGGCCGAGGCCAGUAUUUCAGAUGAUCAGAUUUCAGUGAUCAGUUCAGCUGCUUCUCCUGCUCACUGUUACGCUGGACCUGGAGAUGUGGAGUGUGAUUUCUGCACCGGGAGAAAACACAAAGCCGUCAAGUCCUGUCUGAUGUGUCUGGCCUCAUUUUGUGAAACUCAUUUAAAACCUCAUCUUGAAAUUCCUGCUUUGAAAAAGCACAAGUUAGUCGAAGCUUCUGGAAAUCUACAAGAGAAGAUCUGCUCUGAGCAUGAUAAAGUGCUGGAGGUCUACUGUCGUACUGACCAAAGCUUCAUCUGUUAUCUGUGUAUGAUGGAUGAACACAAAAGCCACGACACUGUCUCUCUCUGCUCUGAAAAAGAGACUUGAAGAAUUCUGCCAGGAGGAAUUCAGCAAAAUCCCUAAACAUGGAGAGAGUAAGAGCAGGGUUCUUCUUUUUUCUUCACCUUCUUCUUUCACUUUCUGUCACAAUAACAUUGUGACUGAUCUCGGAGUUCUCUCAUCCACCAGAGUAUGUGGAUCACAGUGCAGGAACUCUGUCCUUCUACAGCGUCUCUGACAUGAUGAAGCUCCUCCACAGAGUCCGCACUACAUUCACGAAGCCUAUAUACGCCGGGUUCUGGCUCUACUGGUGUGAUGAAACUGUGAGGUUGUGUAAUCCAGAAUGAAGUGUGUCGUGUUUAAUGUAAAAUUCCUGAACGUUGCUCAGUCAUCAGUCUAACCUGCACAGAAACAGCCAUUUUAAUGUAUUAAUUAAAAUAGAGGAGUAACUUUAUAAUUAUUAAAAAAGAUGUUCAAAAUGAACUCUCAGAUAAGAAACUAGUAGAAUUGAAAAAGAAUAUACUGAUACUAUGAGAUUUUAGUAUCUGCUGUGCUUUGUUCUUGUCCUAUAGUCUGUAUGUGUCUUGCUUCGUAUCCAUAGUUCCUGUUGACGGUUCUUGUUGUCAUGGUUUUGUUUGUUUUGUUUUUGUUUUCCACAAUAAAUGACCCACUCUUGCAUCCGCCUCCACUGCCAAAUCCUGACACUGUCAACUUACAAAUUCUGGAUUAAAAAAUAGAAUUAGGACCAAUUCAUUCUGGGCAGAUUUCUCUUUCUCAUCUCUUUUUGCUGGAGUAGCUUACACACACACACAUGAUCACCUCCAUUUCCUCCAGGUAACACUCACUGUCUGAUCUACAGAGCCAGAUGUUCCUCAUACAACUCUUCCUGAAAGAGCAUCGGUUCUCAAACAUGGGGUCUCCUGAGUUGGAUGAUGUUGCAGCACUUUGCUCAAAAGGAAUGAUGAAGGAGUCCCAGUCAUCUUGACCAUCAUACGUGUUAAGUUUAGCUUUAGGUCCAUCUGGAGCUCUACCACGAGGAGCUGUGAGGUGAUUGGUGGAUGCUGAAGUAGUUCAAGGUGCGUGUGCGCUCAAACCCAAGUUGAAAGAGCCAUUAUAAUGGCUGGGUUUCUGCACAUGGCUUUUUGGGUCUCACAUCUGGGCCAGGUGUGGAGGAAGUUGGACUAGCAGGGCUCUGUACGCAUCUAUCAAUGACCGCAAGUUCAGCCGCGAAAAGCCGGUCAGCCUCUGAAGGUCCUGUAGCAUCACCAUCUGUCAUGUGGGUUCCAUCAGGGACAGCUGAAAGUGUGGUAGUGUCUCCAUGUGGACGUGGAUCACGUGUCACUGUGCUGGCAAGGGGCUGCCGUGUACGAGCAAGCAAACUAGCCUCUGUUGCUUCCAAUCUUUGGAGUAGAGGUGAAAUGUCAUGUCGGAGCUGUUUAUUUUGCUAUGACAGCACAGCCAGUGUCCAGUGUGGAGGUCUGGAGCAGCUGAUGCUCCAACUUCACCUUCUUCCUCAGUCAUAUCUAAGCUGUAUUAAAAUCACGCUUGAAAACA